This 301-nucleotide ribosomal RNA is filed under the name uncultured bacterium. Its description in RNAcentral is "partial 16S ribosomal RNA". It matches the Rfam family "Bacterial small subunit ribosomal RNA", at positions 509 to 809 of the family's 1533-position model. The record is from RNAcentral.
CAGUAGCCGCGGGAAUACGUAGGGUGCAAGCGUCAAUCGGAAUUACUGGGCGUAAAGCGUGCGCAGGCGGUUUGUUAAGACGGAUGUGAAAUCCCCGGGCUCAACCUGGGAACUGCAUUCGUGACUGGCAAGCUAGAGUAUGGCAGAGGGGGGUGGAAUUCCCGGUGUAGCGGUGAAAUGCGUAGAGAUCGGGAGGAACAUCAGUGGCGAAGGCGGCCAUCUGGGACAACACUGACGCUGAGGCACGAAAGCGUGGGGAGCAAACAGGAUUAGAUACCCGCGUAGUCCCUGUCUCUUAUAA